RNAcentral lists this ribosomal RNA (503 nucleotides) under uncultured bacterium. RNAcentral's name for it is "bacterial SSU rRNA". It matches the Rfam family "Bacterial small subunit ribosomal RNA", at positions 338 to 816 of the family's 1533-position model. The record is from RNAcentral.
CCUACGGGAGGCAGCAGUGGGGAAUUUUGGACAAUGGGCGCAAGCCUGAUCCAGCCAUGCCGCGUGCAGGAUGAAGGCCUUCGGGUUGUAAACUGCUUUUGUACGGAACGAAAAGGUCUUUUUAAUAAAGAGGGCCCAUGACGGUACCGUAAGAAUAAGCACCGGCUAACUACGUGCCAGCAGCCGCGGUAAUACGUAGGGUGCAAGCGUUAAUCGGAAUUACUGGGCGUAAAGCGUGCGCAGGCGGUAAUGUAAGACAGAUGUGAAAUCCCCGGGCUCAACCUGGGAACUGCAUUUGUGACUGCAUUGCUGGAGUGCGGCAGAGGGGGAUGGAAUUCCGCGUGUAGCAGUGAAAUGCGUAGAUAUGCGGAGGAACACCGAUGGCGAAGGCAAUCCCCUGGGCCUGCACUGACGCUCAUGCACGAACGACGGUGGGGAGGACGAAACGAAGGAGUUAGUAUACCCGUACGGUACGUACCGACCGACCCGUAAACCGAACGUGU